This 204-nucleotide unclassified non-coding RNA is filed under the name fungal sp. RNAcentral describes it as "partial internal transcribed spacer region". The stretch from base 1 to 46 matches the Rfam family "Eukaryotic small subunit ribosomal RNA", at positions 1786 to 1831 of the family's 1831-position model. Lineage: Eukaryota; Fungi. The record is from RNAcentral.
AAGUCGUAACAAGGUUUCCGUAGGUGAACCUGCGGAAGGAUCAUUAUCAAUCUUUUUCUCUUUUAGAGAAUUCAUCUAUUGUGCACCAUUCUUUGUUUGUUACGUUUAAUUACGUUUCAUCCAAAAAAUUACACUUUUUGUCUGAUAUUUUAUAUUAAAUCAUAAUUAAAAUACAACUUUUAACAACGGAUCUCUUGGCUCUCC